CCUACGGGAGGCAGCAGUGAGGCAUAUUGGUCAAUGGCCGGAAGCCUGAACCAGCCAAGCCGCGUGAAGGACGAAGGUGCCAAGCAUUGUAAACUUCUUUUGUCAAGGGACAAAAUCAGGCUCGAGAGCCUGACCGAGGGUACCUGAAGAAAAAGCAUCGGCUAACUCCGUCCCAGCAGCCGCGGUAAUACGGAGGAUGCGAGCGUUAUCGGGAUUUAUGGGGUUUAAAGGGUGCGUAGGCGGGGUGUUAAGUCAGCGGUAAAAGCCCUGGGCUCAACCCCGGCGAGCCGUUGAAACUGGCUGUCUUGAGAGGUCGAGAGGUAGGCGGAAUGCGCAGUGUAGCGGUGAAAUGCUUAGAUAUUGCGCAGAACUCCGAUUGCGAAGGCAGCAUACCGGCG
RNAcentral lists this ribosomal RNA (398 nucleotides) under uncultured bacterium. RNAcentral's name for it is "partial 16S ribosomal RNA". It matches the Rfam family "Bacterial small subunit ribosomal RNA", at positions 338 to 734 of the family's 1533-position model. The record is from RNAcentral.